Molecule: unclassified non-coding RNA, 1691 nt
Filed under: Dimorphilus gyrociliatus
Lineage: Eukaryota; Metazoa; Annelida; Polychaeta; Dinophilidae
Description: sOCS box domain-containing protein
Source: RNAcentral
ACCGUUCAAAAUGUUGAAAUAUCUUUAAAAAAUUCUAAAAGGACCACGAACCUUAUUAUAAAAUAGAAAAAGAACAAAAUUGAUAAGUUCUUUCCAGAACUAACACUAAAAUUAAAAGAAAAGUAAUUUUUAUGUUCUAUAACAAAUUACUUUAAAGUAUUAGUUGACUAGAGCUUUUUCAAGUUAACAGGCUUUGAAAUAUUGAAAAUGAAUUAAAGAAAAAUGAAACGGUGUAAAGAUUGUUCGAAAGAUCAUUUCUAAAUGGAAUAAAAUAAGCAAGUCUAAUCGCUCUCUGUGGUCGUAACGCAAAUUAUUCAUCAUGGCAGUAACCACGUGAAGAAAAAACAUGGGAAAUUCUUUCACGAAAAAGGAUUGCAGCCAGGGAAAUGAGGAAACUUCAUCAGAUAAUUCAACAUCAGAAUCUAAUCAGAAAGAAUGGACCAUGUUAGCUUCCGAUAGCGUAGAAACAUGGAAAUUUAGCAGUGUUUUGUAUGGUUUUGAACCAAGAAUUGAUUAUACUUCCGAUAUAAAGGGACGAUUGCAACCGUGGUGUACAUUUGGUAGAUAUUUUUCAGUAAAGUAUGAUUCAACAGAAAAGGUCUUGGAUAGACAUUAUAUGAAAAUUGUAAUCUCAGAAGGAUGUUUCCAUUCUACUCAAAUUCGCCUUCCACGAAGUUUUUAUUCCAGACUACAUUCAGUACCGGAACCGGCUUCCCAUUUUCUUAAACCUAUUCAAGUUGUGGGAUAUCGUGGAGGAGUAUGCAUUCUACAAGUGAACUGCAAAGACUAUUUUAUUGAAUUUCUAGUCAUACAUAUGAAGACUGGUACGGUUUUAGGGACUCAUAAAGAGAACAUUCAAGGUUAUAAACAUUACUUAUGCGACUGUCUUAUUAGUCCAGAUUUAUCUUCUUUCAUUCUCAAACCAAACGCUAUGUACGUCUUGAAUUUUGCGCGGGAUACAUUUAAUAGUUCUAUGAAAGUUGUAUCUUGCAAAGGAAAUCCUAUGCCUGUUAUUAGGGAGAAUUUGUUUAGUAAUGUUUCUGUGAGAGCUUUUAUAGCAUAUGAUCCAAGGUAUACUUGGAGAAGAAUUGCUAUUGGAAAUUAUUGCAAACACGGGAAGGACACUGUAAUCAUCUUUGAUUUGAAAUCUGAUAAAAUUAUACAAUCAAGCGAUCCUUAUUCUCACUAUCAAACUACGCACAAUAUAUCUUGGUCACCAGAUGGAGCUUACAUAUCAUCAAUGGUUCUAGGCAGAACUAUUAAAGAUGGGUUUUUUAAUUUUCCAAAAGUAUUGAUAUACGAAUCAACAGAUUUAGCAAUUAUUCAAUCAAUUAGGACUAAUUAUCUUUCCGAAGUGCCAACACUAUCACCGACUGGAAUUUUUCCAGUUUUCAAUAACACUGGAACAAUUAUAGCAAUUCCUUAUGGAGAACAUGGAACUUAUUUUCAACAAGUUGCAGGAGUAAAAGUUUAUAAAGCACCAAACGUUUUAGAUCUUCAAAGUUUGUGUCGAUUGUGUAUUAGACAAUAUUUUGAAACCUAUGACGUUGAUAGACUCCCUCUACCAAACAAAUUAAAAGACUAUUUGAAAUUUAAACCAUUUUGGGAAUAAUAGAAUAUUGAAUAAAUGAAUAAAUAACGGUAAAGAGAACACUUUUAACUGUCUUGAAUAAUAAAUCAUAAUAUCUUUA